UCUGACGUUAGCGGCGGACGGGUGAGUAACACGUGGAUAACCUACCUAUAAGACUGGGAUAACUUCGGGAAACCGGAGCUAAUACCGGAUAAUAUAUUGAACCGCAUGGUUCAAUAGUGAAAGACGGUUUUGCUGUCACUUAUAGAUGGAUCCGCGCCGCAUUAGCUAGUUGGUAAGGUAACGGCUUACCAAGGCAACGAUGCGUAGCCGACCUGAGAGGGUGAUCGGCCACACUGGAACUGAGACACGGUCCAGACUCCUACGGGAGGCAGCAGUAGGGAAUCUUCCGCAAUGGGCGAAAGCCUGACGGAGCAACGCCGCGUGAGUGAUGAAGGUCUUCGGAUCGUAAAACUCUGUUAUUAGGGAAGAACAAAUGUGUAAGUAACUAUGCACGUCUUGACGGUACCUAAUCAGAAAGCCACGGCUAACUACGUGCCAGCAGCCGCGGUAAUACGUAGGUGGCAAGCGUUAUCCGGAAUUAUUGGGCGUAAAGCGCGCGUAGGCGGUUUUUUAAGUCUGAUGUGAAAGCCCACGGCUCAACCGUGGAGGGUCAUUGGAAACUGGAAAACUUGAGUGCAGAAGAGGAAAGUGGAAUUCCAUGUGUAGCGGUGAAAUGCGCAGAGAUAUGGAGGAACACCAGUGGCGAAGGCGACUUUCUGGUCUGUAACUGACGCUGAUGUGCGAAAGCGUGGGGAUCAAACAGGAUUAGAUACCCUGGUAGUCCACGCCGUAAACGAUGAGUGCUAAGUGUUAGGGGGUUUCCGCCCCUUAGUGCUGCAGCUAACGCAUUAAGCACUCCGCCUGGGGAGUACGACCGCAAGGUUGAAACUCAAGGAAUUGACGGGGACCCGCACAAGCGGUGGAGCAUGUGGUUUAAUUCGAAGCAACGCGAAGAACCUUACCAAAUCUUGACAUCCUCUGACCCCUCUAGAGAUAGAGUUUUCCCCUUCGGGGGACAGAGUGACAGGUGGUGCAUGGUUGUCGUCAGCUCGUGUCGUGAGAUGUUGGGUUAAGUCCCGCAACGAGCGCAACCCUUAAGCUUAGUUGCCAUCAUUAAGUUGGGCACUCUAAGUUGACUGCCGGUGACAAACCGGAGGAAGGUGGGGAUGACGUCAAAUCAUCAUGCCCCUUAUGAUUUGGGCUACACACGUGCUACAAUGGACAAUACAAAGGGCAGCGAAACCGCGAGGUCAAGCAAAUCCCAUAAAGUUGUUCUCAGUUCGGAUUGUAGUCUGCAACUCGACUAU
RNAcentral lists this ribosomal RNA (1247 nucleotides) under Staphylococcus sp. RNAcentral describes it as "bacterial SSU rRNA". It matches the Rfam family "Bacterial small subunit ribosomal RNA", at positions 85 to 1319 of the family's 1533-position model. The record is from RNAcentral. Lineage: Bacteria; Bacillati; Bacillota; Bacilli; Caryophanales; Staphylococcaceae.